AGUUUCACUCUUGUUGCCCAGGCUGGAGUACAAUGGUGUGAUCUCGGCUCACUGAAACCUGUGCCUCCUGGAUUCAUUCAAGCGGUUCUCCUGCCUCAGCCUCCUGAGUAGCUGGGAUUACAGGCAUGUGCCACCACGCCCAGCUAAUUUUGUAUUUUUAGUAGAGAUGGGGUUUCUCUAUGUUGGUGAGGUUAGUCUCGAACUCCUGACCUCAGGUGAUCCACUUGCCUCGGCCUCCCAAAGUGCUGGGAUUACAGGCAUGGGCCACUGCACCCGGCCUGUAUCUCCAAUUCUUUAUAUAUGCCUGACGAACUGCUAUUCCAUCUUGUAGGGCUAAAAUCAAAUGUUUUUUUCAUUUUUGGGAAGCCUCCUCUACAUACCUCCACCUUCUAACUCCAAGAAGUCAAAACAUUGGUACACCUGGUUCUUGGGCCUUUUGACUCAGACUGAAUCACACCACUGGCUUUCCUGGUUUUCCAGCUUGCAGACAACAGAUCAUGGAACUUCUUGCCCUCCGUAAUCUCAUGAGCCAAUUUCUAAAAUCAUGUGGGGCUCCCUUGGCAUCUUUGACUUGUAGAAAGUGUAAUAUGGAGUUUCCAGACUAGAACACAAGCUCCCUAUGAAGAGCAAGAAGACACAGAUGUUGACUUCCUCCAGCGUUGCUGACUCACCCCUUCCCUGAUCUUUCAUUUGGGUUGUGUUCCUCCCUAGCAACUUUUCUGAUGUAUUAAUGUCAUUCAUUCUUAGUACAUGACUGACCCAGCAUCUGUUCUUUUCCUAAUGAAUGAAGUGCUGGGAGAGAAGGAUAUUCCAUAGGGGAAAAAAGGAGAGCUGAGAAUGCACAGAAAUUUUCAUGUGCCAAGUUUGGAAGUGAAACCAGGACCCCUACCUGAUGGAAAAUGUCAACUGUUGUCACGUAGACCUCAGGCAGACUGGAACCAAAAAAUGGAUAAGGAAGUUCUUGAAAUUUCUCAGCUCCUAACUCACUUUUUUUUUGUUUUUUUUUAAUUAUACUUUAAG
Long non-coding RNA from Symphalangus syndactylus (siamang), 1020 nucleotides. RefSeq lists it as uncharacterized. The record is from RefSeq and is a predicted model, not a curated record. Lineage: Eukaryota; Metazoa; Chordata; Mammalia; Primates; Hylobatidae.